RNAcentral lists this long non-coding RNA (740 nucleotides) under Mytilus galloprovincialis (Mediterranean mussel). Lineage: Eukaryota; Metazoa; Mollusca; Bivalvia; Mytilida; Mytilidae. The record is from RNAcentral.
CGAAAGUAGAUAAGAGGCAUUCACAAUUGUUCACCCAGAAAAGUUCAAUUUGUUAUUGAUCUCCUUAAUAAGUUUACAAAGUUCGUCAGUUCUGUACAUUUUGGGGAAUUCAUUAAGUCAUAAAACUUCAAUGUGUUUGUUCUAUUUCUAUUGUAAAAUGAAAUACAUUGUUUUCUACAAUUAUCGAAAGCUGAACAAUUAAAAAUGUAAUGGUAUUCAUCACCAAUGGCAUCUGAAUUACACAAUACACAUUUUCUGUUUUCUCUUUCUAUGUUUUGCCAUCUUCCAGUUCCUAUUGGAGAUUUCAUGUUAAAAGUUCCAAAAUUAAAAAAUAAGGAUAUCUGCCGGUCAUCCAAAAUAGAUAUUUCUCAAACUCCAAAGUAAUCUUAAAUAAACGAUAAUUUAAUGCUUUUGGUGAUUCCUGUUGGCUUAAGAUGUGGAAUAAAAGUAUACUUUAAAAUAUAAUACUUGGACCAAUAAUCAAAAAUAAAAUAAUGGGUGAAAACUGUUAACUUUACUUCAUUAUUUAUUUUGUUUAAAAAAAAACCAGAAUUCAUACAGAUGCAAAAAUAACUUAUUACCUGUUCUAAUAAAAAAAAAACACUGGUCAAUUAACAGUUGAUUAAAAAUUGUUUGUACAGUAUAAUCCUUUGUUUGCACAAGUUUUCCUUCUAUUCCCACAUGAAAUUUUACCUUUUCUUACCAGAUUUAUAAAAAGUGGGAAUAGAGGGAAUGAACCG